Molecule: ribosomal RNA, 433 nt
Filed under: uncultured bacterium
Lineage: Bacteria
Description: partial 16S ribosomal RNA
Rfam family: Bacterial small subunit ribosomal RNA
Source: RNAcentral
AACGAACGCUGGCGGCAUGCCUAACACAUGCAAGUCGAACGAGACCUUCGGGUCUAGUGGCGCACGGGUGCGUAACGCGUGGGAACCUGCCUUUAGGUUCGGGAUAACUCAGAGAAAUUUGAGCUAAUACCGGAUGAUGUCUUCGGACCAAAGAUUUAUCGCCCUUAGAUGGGCCCGCGUUGGAUUAGCCAGUUGGUGGGGUAAAGGCCUACCAAGGCGACGAUCCAUAGCUGGUCUGAGAGGAUGAUCAGCCACACUGGGACUGGGACACGGUCCAGACUCCUACGGGAGGCAGCAGUGGGGAAUAUUGGACAAUGGGCGGAAGCCUGAUCCAGCAAUGCCGCGUGAGUGAUGAAGGCCUUAAGGUUGUACAGCUCUUUUACCCGAGAUGAUAAUGACAGUAUCGGGAGAAUAAGCACCGGCUAACUCCGUG